UUCAUUUGAAUGGUCUAGAAAUGUUUCCACCCUUGAAGCUGCUUCCCCAAAGUUUUCAAAGCAUAUAUUUGCCCCAGAUUCUUCUCCACAACUGCCAACCAGGGUGUGGAAAUACUUCCAAUUGACUAUUAAAGUUUGACAGUAUGAUUCACAUAUUUAUAAGGGAGUCACUUUAACUUGUUCAUAUGCUGACAAGUAGAUUAGGCCACACUUCCUACAUGAUGUUAACAUUUUAAUAUGAAAUACUUAUGCAUUGAUAGGUCCCUAUGGCGAGCUUGCUUUGUGCCAACAUAACCUAAAAUCUCAUCUGAAGAAGCGGUCUGAGUAUUUGUUUGAAGGAACCCAACAUUUCUCAAUAAGAUCUAUACCGAGCUCUACACAGAGACUGGAAGUGGCAAGGUCAACAAUGAACAUGAGGUGAGACAGAUUGAGAGAGCAUGCAAGAGACCAGACACACAAGAUGUCAUUCGAAUGUAAUGACAUCUUCAAACCCUUACCUGGACAAGACAAGGAUAUCUGAACUAUGCUAACAAAGGGAAUCACUGGCAUUGGAAAAACAGUGUCUGUGCAGAAGUUUAUUCUUGCCUGGGUGGAAGAAAAGGCAAACCAGGAUGUCCAGCUCGUCUUUUCACUCCCUUUUCAGGAGCUGAAUUUGAUGGAGGAAAAGAGUUAGAUGGAACUUCAUCACUUUUUUUUAUUGAGAUCAAAAAUCUGGAAUCCCAGACCUCAAGAAGUACAAUGUUGUGUUUGUCCUUGAUGGUUUGGAUGAAUGCCGUCUUCCUCUAGAUUUUGAGAGCAAGACCUGGUGUGAUGUCACAAAGCCAACCACAGUGGAUGUGCUGUCUUACAAACCUCAUCCAGGGAAAUCUGCUUCCCUAUGCUCGCAUCUGGUUUACCUCCCGACCUGCACCAGCCAAUCGCAUUCCUCUAGAGUGUGUUGACCAGGUGAAAGAGAUGCGAGGGUUCAGUGACUCACGGAAGGAUGAGUUUCAUCAAGAGAAUGACUGAUCCAAACCAGGCCAGAAGAAUCCUCACACACAUGAGGUCAUCAAGAAUAUUUGAAGAAUAUCAUCAAGAAUAUUAUGUGCCACAUUCCAGUAUGCUGUUGGAUUUCAUCCUCUGUUCUGAAGAAUCUGUUAGUUGAAGCAGAGAGUGGGAAGAUGCCCAAAACGCUGACUCAAAUGUGCACACACUUCCUGAUGUUUCAGACCACACAGAUGAAUCUGAAGUACGCUAUAGAACAAGAGAUCGAACCCCCAUUAAAUCUAAAGAUAAUUCUGGGAUUGGGGAAGCUAGCCUUUCAACAGCUGGAAAAGGGCAACCUGAUCUUCUAAGAGGAAGACCUGAAAGAGUAGGGCAUCGAUGUUGAAGUGUCAGUGUACUUCAGAAUGUGUGCACAGGUCUUCAGAGAGGAGUGUGGGCUGUACCAGAGAAAGGUGUACUGCUUUGUGCCUCUGAGCAUCCAGGAGUGUCUGACUGCUCUGUAUGUCUUUCUCAUGUUCAACAACAAUGUAAAUCUGAUGGCAGAACUGACGUCUAAUGAAUUCUCUACAACCAUCCUCCAUAAGAGUGCAGUAGAUAAGGCUCCGAAGAGUGAGAAUUGACACCUGGACCUCUUCCUCAGCUUCCUUCUCAGCCUCUCUCUGGAGUCCAAUCAGACUCUGUUAAAGAGGUCUACCAACAGACAAGAAGCAGCUCACAGAGCCAUAAGGAAACGGUAGAAUACAUCAAGGAGAACCCCUCUCCAGAGAAGUGCAUCAGCCUGUUCCACUGUCUGAAUGAGCUGAAUGACCAUUUAGUGGAGGAGAUCCAAAGGCACCUGGGAUCUGGAAUUCUCUCUAAGGCCAAACAUUCACCUGCAGAGUGGUCAGCUCUGGUCUUUGUGUUGCUGACCUCAGAAGAGAUGCUGGAUAUUUUCGACCUGAGAAAAUACUCUGGUUCAGAGGAGGGUCUGCUGAGGCUGCUGCCAGUGGUCAAAGCCUCCAGAGUAGUGCUACUGAUGGGUUACAACCUGACAGAAAAAUGCUGUGAAGCCUCUUCUCUCAGCUCCUCUCAACUGAGAACGCUGAACCUGAAUGAUCAUGAUCUGCACGAUUCAGGAGUGAAGCUGCUCUCUACUGGACUGAGGAGUCCACGCUGUAAACUGGAGGUUCUUACCCUCUAUUUUAGUUAAAUAAGAUGCCUAUGAGCUGACACUGGACCCAAACACAGCUCACAGACGCCUCUCCGUCUGAGGGGAACAUAACGGAGACGGGAGACAGAGGAGAAACCGUAUCCUGAUCAACCAAACAGAUUUCAAUGCUGGUCACAGGUUUUGUCUAGACAGAGGAGCAACCAUAUCCAGAUUAGAGUUGCUGUUAUCCAACACAUGUAUGAUAUAGGCUACUGCACAGUACGCACGACAGACAAACAUAAAAGCCCAUAGAUGUAGCUAGCUAUAUGCUCUCUUAGGUAAAUAAAUGAAACUAGUGUGAACUGUAUUACUGUACUGUAUUAUAUGGGCUGGAAUUACGCACAUUGUUCAAACCACGAUAAAGCAGGAGAGAACAUGCGAUUCGUGUGCAGCACAUGCAGCCUACAAAGUUACAAGUAUAGGCUAAAGAAUUUGAUUUAAAUUUUGAAAUAUAAUAGGGCCUAUUUGUAUACUUAGUAGGCUGACGCAUAUAUACCUUUCAUAAUAUUCCCCUAAUGUUAUUAGCCUACUUCCUCUUUCUCUAUUGUUGCUUAAUUCCUUCCUCGCUUUCAACAGUUCAAUUAAAUACUUUAUCUUCAUCAUUCUAAUGACAUUAAUAAUAUUGGACUAGAAUUAGAAACAGAAUGCUUUCACUUCUCUUCACGAAGAUUGAAUGGUAAUGAGUCCGAAUAAAUAACUGAUAUAGCCUACCGCUAUCGCGCCCAUUUGCUCUUCUUUCAAACUACCCGUGAGUUCUAUUGGCUGCUGUAUUUAGCAAUCAUAAACAUAUAAUGCCCAGCAAUGCAUUUUAGUCUAGUUUUUCCUGCAUGAGAUUGGAAGAGCUAAGGAAAGUUUUUUAAGGAGAGGUCAGCGGAGCACAGGUUGGUGUGUAACGGAUGUGAAACGGCUAGCUUAGUUAGCGGUGCGCACUAAAUAGUUUCAAUCGGUGACGUCACUUGCUCCGAGACCUUGAAGUAGUAGUUCCCCUUGCUCUGCAAGGGCCGUGGCUUUUGUGGAGCGAUGGCUAACGAUGCUUCGAGAGGUGACUGUUGUUGAUGUGUGCAGAGGGUCCCUGGUUCGCGCCCGGGUAUGGGCGAGGGUACGGUCUACAGUUAUACUGUUACAUUGAUGCUGUUGACCCGGCGGAUCACUGGUUGCUGCGGAAAGGGGGAGAAGAGCUCACACUGUCCUCAAUAUGCUGAUGCCCCCUCCAGUUUGUCAGAGAUCCCCUGCUACAUCACAGGAGAGCAUCCUCAGGCUGGGAAACAUACCAGUCCCACAGUCCUGUCAGAGCCUGAACAGAAUGCUAUAGAACAGUUUUACAUUCUUCAUUAUUGUAUUCAUUACGUUACUCUGAGGACUGUGUCCCCUGAAUCUGUGGGGAAGUGUUGUAAUCCAUACAUUUGUAACAGUGUAAAUAAUCUAUAAAAGUAUUAUAUUUGAUUGUAGCACGCCUUGAUUUUCUAGCCAUUAAUUCUGAGUGAUUUACACAGGUUUUAUGGUGUUGGUAGCAUGCUGUACUACAGUACUUAUCUUACUAAAGACAUUCAUAAAGCUAACACUAAAUAUAUUUAUUAAGAUUUGUACCAUAAAGUGUGUUGUCUCUUCCUCUCAAUCCCUAAAAGGAGGUGUAGCGUGGCGUAAUGCAGUACCAGUGAUGUUCUGUACACUUACUAAAUAGCUUCCUGAAGCUAA
Oncorhynchus kisutch (coho salmon) is the source of this 3868-nucleotide long non-coding RNA. RefSeq lists it as uncharacterized. The record is from RefSeq and is a predicted model, not a curated record. The transcript is spliced from 4 exons. Lineage: Eukaryota; Metazoa; Chordata; Actinopteri; Salmoniformes; Salmonidae.